Molecule: unclassified non-coding RNA, 294 nt
Filed under: uncultured fungus
Lineage: Eukaryota; Fungi
Description: partial contains 5.8S rRNA and ITS2
Rfam family: 5.8S ribosomal RNA (bases 1-52)
Source: RNAcentral
AACGCAUAUUGCGCUCUCUGGUAUUCCGGAGAGCAUGCCUGUUUGAGUAUCUACUAAUUCUCAACCCCAUUGGGUGUUUGGAUAUGAGUCAAGUCUGUUAGACUGGCUUGAAAUGUAGUGUUGUAAGGGUAAUGUACCACCUCUGGAGGAACAGUAAUUGAAUGAGUGAUACUCAGCCUUUUCUUAGUACUUUAUAGGUAGAGCAGAGCCGCGCCUUUGGGAGCUUUCAGCAAAAAUGUAGAGCUUGCUCUGAACCUUGGUCUCAAAUCAGGUAGGAAGACCCGCUGAACUUAA